Molecule: non-coding RNA, 92 nt
Organism: Hypoxylon fragiforme
Lineage: Eukaryota; Fungi; Ascomycota; Sordariomycetes; Xylariales; Hypoxylaceae
Source: the annotation of a RefSeq genome assembly
GGCUUCGUGGUCUAGCGGUAUGAUUCUCGCUUAGGGUAACACCCUAUAGCAUAAUAUGCGAGAGGUCCCGGGUUCGAUCCCCGGCGAAGCCC